Cherax quadricarinatus is the source of this 1247-nucleotide non-coding RNA. The record is from RefSeq and is a predicted model, not a curated record. NCBI's taxonomy places the organism in Eukaryota, Metazoa, Arthropoda, Malacostraca, Decapoda, Parastacidae.
GUUGAACUUCAGUGGUCAUACAGAAGAGAUGUUUUGCUCCUCCUCCUGCCACCCGGCCGGCUUUACCGCUUCCUCAUCCUUUUAAUACACUUAAAUAACGUGUUGCUGCAACAUUGAUCUACACUGCAACAUUGACCAGUCUGAGGAGUGCUGUGCCUGGCUGCUGCAACAUUGACCAGUCUGAGGAGUGCUGUGACUGGCUGCUGCAACAUUGACCAGUCUGAGGAGUGCUGUGACUGGCUGCUGCAACAUUGACCAGUCUGAGGAGUGCUGUGCCUGGCUGCUUGCAACAUUGACCAGUCUGAGGAGUGCUGUGCCUGGCUGCUGCAACACUGACCAGUCUGAGGAGUGCUGUGACUGGCUGCUGCAACAUUGAUCAACACUGCAACAUUGACCAGUCUGAGGAGUGCUGUGCCUGGCUGCUGCAACAUUGACCAGUCUGAGGAGUGCUGUGCCUGGCUGCUGCAACAUUGACCAGUCUGAGGAGUGCUGUGACUGGCUGCUGCAACAUUGACCAGUCUGAGGAGUGCUGUGACUGGCUGCUGCAACAUUGACCAGUCUGAGGAGUGCUGUGACUGGCUGCUGCAACAUUGACCAAUCUGAGGAGUGCUCUGACUGGCUGCUGCAACAUUGAUCAACACUGCAACAUUGACCAGUCUGAGGAGUGCUGUGACUGGCUGCUGCAACAUUGAUCAACACAGCAACAUUGACCAGUCUGAGGAGUGCUGUGACUGGCUGCUGCAACAUUGAUCAACACAGCAACAUUGACCAGUCUGAGGAGUGCUGUGGCUGGCUGCUGCAACAUUGAUCAACACAGCAACAUUGACCAGUCUGAGGGACAGAGACAACCACACUAGUAAAUGGUCUGACCCAUAACAUUUAGUGUUAUAUGGAGAUGCAGCAGUUGGAGACGUCGCCAAGGGUGGGCGGGGCCCACUUGUAAGGUAUUUCCAGGUUGAAGAUAUUCUCAAUAUUGCGGCAGCUUCUGUGGUGAAGACCGUGUCGUGGCCAGCUGCAAGUCUUCAGAGAUAUCAACUCAGCAGCAACUCACCAAAACAAUGUCUGCAAAGAUAAAAGUAUGAACAUUACUAGAUACACGAACUGUAAGGUUGAUGGAGCUGGAGGUGUUGAUGGUGUGGUGGAUGGCAGAGGAGUGACUAGUGGCGCCACUAUUCUUGACCUCCAUGGCUAAAUGGCGCCGUUGACCUGGAGGGGUGAUGACGUCAAUGGUUGUUUGUGGGAAGGGG